GUUCAGCAAAACAAGCUUAGACGGAACACAGUGAGGUGUCUGGGCUCAGGAGUAAAAGAAACACCUUCCUUCCCUCACAUCCGUUUGUGGUUUGUUUAAGAAGAAGAGGGAAAAAAAAAAAAAAAAAAAAAAAGAGGGGGGAAAAGCGCUCAACUCUCCCCCAAGCCGCGGCGCGCACCCGUCGGCGCCGAGCGCGCAGCCUGCUCCACCGCCGCCUCUCGGUCCCGCCGCCGCCGCUGCCGCCGCCGCCGCCGGGCAGAGGCCGGGGACCGGAGAAAGGAGGAGCGGAGGAGAAGGAGGAGAGCACGGCCCGGCUGGGAUAGAUGCGGUGGGACCCUGGGAGGCCUCCGUCGUGCCCGUGCCGCGCUCCUCCGGGCCAGCGCGUCGCACACAAAGGGGCUGCCGAGCCAGAGACACCGGCGGCCUCAGGGCACCGUGGGGAGCGCGCAGCGAGGGGGCGCUGUGGCGCACCCCGCCCCGCAGCCCCGCCCCGACCCUCCCCGGCCCCACCCCACUCCCACCGCCCCCUCUGCGGCCGUCCCCACCCCUAUCUCCGCGACCCCCACACUCCUCCUCGGCUAUUCCCCAACCCUGUCACUGUGCUCCCCUCCCUACUCCCGGCCCGUAGUGGAGGUGACUUUCCUGCGCAGCGCCGCUCCUGAGGGCGGAGAACCCACAGGGAGAGCGACCCCUUUGCACGCUG
RNAcentral lists this non-coding RNA (703 nucleotides) under Pongo abelii (Sumatran orangutan). Lineage: Eukaryota; Metazoa; Chordata; Mammalia; Primates; Hominidae. The record is from RNAcentral.